Molecule: ribosomal RNA, 495 nt
Filed under: uncultured bacterium
Lineage: Bacteria
Description: bacterial SSU rRNA
Rfam family: Bacterial small subunit ribosomal RNA
Source: RNAcentral
AUGAACGCUAGCGGCAGGCUUAACACAUGCAAGUCGAGGGGCAUCGGGAGUAGCAAUACUGCCGGCGACCGGCGCAAGGGUGCGUAACGCGUGAGCAACAUGCCCGUAUCAGGGGGGAUAAUCCAUGGAAACGUGGUCUAAUACCCCAUAGUAAUUAUGUAAGGCAUCUUAUAUAAUUUAAAGCUUUGGUGGAUACGGAUUGGCUCGCGUGACAUUAGCUAGAUGGUAAGGUAACGGCUUACCAUGGCUACGAUGUCUAGGGGUUCUGAGAGGAAGGUCCCCCACACUGGAACUGAGACACGGUCCAGACUCCUACGGGAGGCAGCAGUGAGGAAUAUUGGACAAUGGAUGGAAAUCUGAUCCAGCCAUGCCGCGUGCAAGGAAGACGGCCCUAUGGGUUGUAAACUGCUUUUGUAUGGGAGCAAUAAGGGCUACGCGUAGUCCGAUGAGAGUACCAUACGAAUAAGCACCGGCUAACUCCGUGCCAGCCGCCGC